Molecule: non-coding RNA, 24 nt
Filed under: Arabidopsis thaliana (thale cress)
Lineage: Eukaryota; Viridiplantae; Streptophyta; Magnoliopsida; Brassicales; Brassicaceae
Source: RNAcentral
AGUGUCAAGCAUUGGACAUGGAUA